RNAcentral lists this small RNA (127 nucleotides) under Klebsiella sp. RIT-PI-d. Its description in RNAcentral is "RtT RNA". It matches the Rfam family "RtT RNA". Rfam says of the family: This family represents a bacterial cis-regulatory element known as RtT RNA. The exact function of RtT is unknown although it is thought that it may be involved in changing the cellular response in relation to amino acid starvation. The record is from RNAcentral. Lineage: Bacteria; Pseudomonadati; Pseudomonadota; Gammaproteobacteria; Enterobacterales; Enterobacteriaceae.
CUUUUUUGCUAUCUGCGAUAUCAAAAUUCGAACCUGCCGCAGGUUCGGGCCGAGCGCAGCGAGACAACGGAGCCGCUUGCGGCGACGGCCCGAAGGGCGAAGCCAAGUCAUCCUGCACAACCCACCA